UUCUAACUUACCUCUACUCUAAACUCUAAACAAUAGUAACUUUUUACUAGACUCACAAUUUUAAAAACAAAUGGUUUUUUUUUUGUGUGAAAUAAACCUAAUAGGCCUAGUCUAUUUAUUUUAAAAUAAACCUUAUGCCUAGAUAUCUAUAUCUAAAUUUUCCAAAUGCAUUUUCAGAAGUUCGAAUGAGGAGAUGGAGAUGGCUGGGCCAUGUCCUACGCAAGAGCAAAAGAUGACUCCCCCAACAUGGCACUGGAAAACGAAAGAGGGGAAGACCACUGGGAACAUGGAGGAGAGAGAUGGAAGAAGAAGUGCAAGCUGCUGGCAAGACUUGGCAUGAACUAAAGUGGCUCGCCCAGGACAGAGUGGAAUGGCAGGGAUUUGUUGCUGCCCUAUACUCCACAGGGAGUGAUGAGGAUUAAAGAAAGCAGACACAGAUCCAGUGUUGGAAGAGGAAGUAUUUUACAUAAAAGAAAAAAAAAAACAGAUGUCAAAGCAGGUAUUGGCUGGUGCAGAAACAGCAUGAAAGGAUUUUUGUAUCUUUCCUGGACUGAUGACUUUCAUUCAACCUGAUCAUUUUUUAAUCUGCAUCAACUAAAACUUGUUAUAUAAAUCACUUUGUUGUACUCACACCUUAAACUUA
Physella acuta is the source of this 643-nucleotide long non-coding RNA. RefSeq lists it as uncharacterized. The record is from RefSeq and is a predicted model, not a curated record. Lineage: Eukaryota; Metazoa; Mollusca; Gastropoda; Physidae.